Molecule: ribosomal RNA, 486 nt
Filed under: uncultured bacterium
Lineage: Bacteria
Description: partial 16S ribosomal RNA
Rfam family: Bacterial small subunit ribosomal RNA
Source: RNAcentral
AUUGAACGCUGGCGGCAUGCCUUACACAUGCAAGUCGAACGGCAGCACGGGUGCUUGCACCUGGUGGCGAGUGGCGAACGGGUGAGUAAUACAUCGGAACAUGUCCUGUAGUGGGGGAUAGCCCGGCGAAAGCCGGAUUAAUACCGCAUACGAUCUUCGGAUGAAAGCGGGGGACCUUCGGGCCUCGCGCUUUAGGGUUGGCCGAUGGCUGAUUAGAUAGUUGGUGGGGUAAAGGCCUACCAAGGCGACGAUCAGUAGCUGGUCUGAGAGGACGACCAGCGACACUGGGAGUGAGACACGGCCCAGACUCCUACGGGAGGCAGCAGUGGGGAAUUUUGGACAAUGGGCGAAAGCCUGAUCCAGCAAUGCCGCGUGUGUGAAGAAGGCCUUCGGGUUGUAAAGCACUUUUGUCCGGAAAGAAAUCCUUGGCCCUAAUACGGUCGGGGGAUGACGGUACCGGAAGAAUAAGCACCGGCUAACUACGUG